CAAUGGGAGCAGUAGCAGGGACGCUUCACGGUAAAGUACGUCUGAUCACUCCGCAAAGAUGUGUUUAAGCAAGCCGUGAUACGCAGUGGAAGAAGGAUACUCUUGUGGCAAGCUGUAGAUGGCAUCGCAGGGUCAAAGGUACUUGAAUAGCCUCCCUUUUCAUACCCACUCUGAAUAUCGGUGCCUAGAGGCCCAUUUCCUCUGUGGACAGACGGACGACUUUCGGCUUGAGGAGAUGCAGUGGCAGGACCCUGGCGGAGAGCUGAAAUCUGAUGUGAAACUUGGCCUCGGCUGCCAGAUG
Non-coding RNA from Lepisosteus oculatus (spotted gar), 301 nucleotides. The record is from RefSeq and is a predicted model, not a curated record. Lineage: Eukaryota; Metazoa; Chordata; Actinopteri; Semionotiformes; Lepisosteidae.